GACGAACGCUGGCGGCGUGCUUAACACAUGCAAGUGGAGCGACGAACCGGGGCUUGCCCCGGGGCAAAGCCGCGAACGGGUGAGUAACACGUGGGUAACCCACCUCGAUGACCGGGACAACCCGAGGAAACUCGGGCUAAUACCGGAUGUGCUCCUCUCUCGCAAGAGAGUUGAGGAAAGAUAGCUUCGGCCUUCGCAUCGAGACGGGCCCGCGGCCCAUUAGCUUGUUGGUGGGGUAACGGCCUACCAAGGCUGCGAUGGGUAGCUGGUCUGAGAGGACGAUCAGCCACACUGGGACUGAGACACGGCCCAGACUCCUACGGGAGGCAGCAGUGGGGAAUCUUGCACAAUGCGCGAAAGCGUGAUGCAGCAACGCCGCGUGGGGGAAGAAGGCCUC
This 397-nucleotide ribosomal RNA is filed under the name uncultured bacterium. Its description in RNAcentral is "bacterial SSU rRNA". It matches the Rfam family "Bacterial small subunit ribosomal RNA", at positions 28 to 418 of the family's 1533-position model. The record is from RNAcentral.